RNAcentral lists this ribosomal RNA (433 nucleotides) under uncultured bacterium. RNAcentral describes it as "partial 16S ribosomal RNA". It matches the Rfam family "Bacterial small subunit ribosomal RNA", at positions 29 to 507 of the family's 1533-position model. The record is from RNAcentral.
AACGAACGCUGGCGGCAUGCCUAACACAUGCAAGUCGAACGAGACCUUCGGGUCUAGUGGCGCACGGGUGCGUAACGCGUGGGAACCUGCCCUUAGGUUCGGAAUAACUCCCCGAAAGGGGUGCUAAUACCGGAUAAUGUCUUCGGACCAAAGAUUUAUCGCCUUUGGAUGGGCCCGCGUUGGAUUAGCUAGUUGGUAGGGUAAAAGCCUACCAAGGCGACGAUCCAUAGCUGGUCUGAGAGGAUGAUCAGCCACACUGGGACUGAGACACGGCCCAGACUCCUACGGGAGGGAGCAGUGGGGAAUAUUGGAGAAUGGGCGAAAGCCUGAUCCAGCAAUGCCGCGUGAGUGAUGAAGGCCUUAGGGUUGUAAAGCUCUUUUACCCGGGAUGAUAAUGACAGUACCGGGAGAAUAAGCUCCGGCUAACUCCGUG